CAGUAGCCGCGGUAAUACGUAGGGUGCAAGCGUUAAUCGGAAUUACUGGGCGUAAAGCGUGCGCAGGCGGUUGUGUAAGACAGGUGUGAAAUCCCCGGGCUUAACCUGGGAAUUGCAUUUGUGACUGCACGACUAGAGUGUGUCAGAGGGGGGUGGAAUUCCACGUGUAGCAGUGAAAUGCGUAGAUAUGUGGAGGAACACCAAUGGCGAAGGCAGCCCCCUGGGAUAACACUGACGCUCAUGCACGAAAGCGUGGGGAGCAAACAGGAUUAGAUACCCCAGUAGUCCCUGUCUCUUAUAC
This 301-nucleotide ribosomal RNA is filed under the name uncultured bacterium. RNAcentral's name for it is "partial 16S ribosomal RNA". It matches the Rfam family "Bacterial small subunit ribosomal RNA", at positions 509 to 807 of the family's 1533-position model. The record is from RNAcentral.